UCACCAAAUUGAAGACCGGUCACUAAAGCAUAAUCCCUCCUCGAUAAAUAAACCUUAGUAUUAUUCAAUUUAAAACAGAGAUCAUUAUUAUCUGAUUUUAUUUGGCGGGAUACCACAUGAUGCACGGCCAUUGCACAUUUCGGACCAGGAUUCCAAUCCAAAAAAUGUCCAAAACAACCCCCUAUAAAUCUAUCUAAUAACUGUUGACCACCUUUUUUCUUCAAAACAGAUUCUACCUUGCUAAGAUACUUUAUUUUAUAAUAUGUGCCAACGUCCCACGUUGAAUUAAUUGUGUCCUCUCUCAAAAAAACAGGAUGACCCUGUAACAACAGGUAAAUAAUUAUUAAAAUUCAACCAAAACAAUGCAAAUAUCAAACAAUGAGUCCAACUAUGCGCAUGUAAUUUGCAUACUAUGAGUCCAUCUAUGCGCAAAUUAUAUACUACUUUGCGCACAAAAUCUUUUAGCGCAUACUAACAAUUCCAAAAUAUAUUUUCUUUCACAAUAAACAAACAAAUAUAGACGUAACACUAAAUUGAUAACAAUAGGGGCCAAGAAUUAGGGCAACUUUCAUUUAGGGCGAAAAUUAGGGGGGCAAAAUUUUUUUCAAAAUUUCGAAAAAAUAAUACCAAAUUAGGGGGGCAAAAUUUUUUCAAGAUUGGGCGAGCGAAAAACCUCUAAAUCAGGUAACAACACCAAAGCAUAAAAAUUGGAAUUUCAAUCUUAAAUAAUCUAAGUUACAUAAGAAAAUAAAUUGAGCACCAACAAACAUAUACUCCAAACAAAAUAGGAUAAAUAUUAAAAAAAAUUGCAGAAAAACCAAACCUCAUUCGGUUGGUCCAUCUUCUCCGGCGCCGGCGGCCAAUUUACGGUGAAAAUAAAUAAAGCUUCGGUCGAGAGAGGGAGAGGGAGAAUUUCCGCAGAGAGAGAGAGAUUUGUUCCGCAGAGAGAGAGAGAAUUUCCGCAGAGAGAGAAUUGGGGUGGGGCGCAUCAAUUUUUUUAAAAAAAAGGGUUGGAGAUUUGUUCCGCAUCAAUUUCCGCAGAGAGAGAGAGGAAAUUUCCGCAUUCUACCUAGAAUUGGGGAGGGCAUACGCAUAAUUGGGGAGGAGGAAAUUUCCGCAUUCUACCUAGAAUUGGGGAGGGCAUACGCAUAAUUGGGGAGGGGGAAAUUUCCGCAUUCUAUGUAUUUGGUACAUCCCAAUUCUCGAAUUGCCAUAUUAGGUAAAAUUAGUAAA
Molecule: long non-coding RNA, 1233 nt
Filed under: Salvia miltiorrhiza (redroot sage)
Lineage: Eukaryota; Viridiplantae; Streptophyta; Magnoliopsida; Lamiales; Lamiaceae
Description: long non-coding RNA (SMIL_LNC004825)
Source: RNAcentral